UCCAGGGUAGCCUAGUGGACAUGGCACCUGCCCGGUAAGCAGAAGGUUGUAAGUUCGAUUCCCGCCCCUGGAC
Non-coding RNA from Cordylochernes scorpioides, 73 nucleotides. Lineage: Eukaryota; Metazoa; Arthropoda; Arachnida; Pseudoscorpiones; Chernetidae. The record is from the annotation of a GenBank genome assembly.